UACGUAGGGGGCAAGCGUUGUCCGGAAUCAUUGGGCGUAAAGCGCGUGUAGGCGGCCAGAAAAGUCCGUUGUGAAAACUCGAGGCUCAACCUCGAGACGUCGGCGGAAACCCUCUGGCUAGAGUCCGGAAGAGGAGAGUGGAAUUCCUGGUGUAGCGGUGAAAUGCGCAGAUAUCAGGAAGAACACCCGUGGCGAAGGCGGCUCUCUGGGACGGUACUGACGCUGAGACGCGAAAGCGUGGGGAGCAAACAGG
Molecule: ribosomal RNA, 253 nt
Filed under: uncultured bacterium
Lineage: Bacteria
Description: partial 16S ribosomal RNA
Rfam family: Bacterial small subunit ribosomal RNA
Source: RNAcentral